GUAGGGAGCAAGCGUUAUUCGGAUUUACUGGGCGUAAAGAGUGCGUAGGCGGUUGGGUAAGUCAAGGGUGAAAUCUCUGCUCUCAAGGCAGAAACUGCCUUUGAUACUGCUCGACUCGAGGACAGGAGAGGGAAGUGGAACUCUGGAAGUAGCGGUGAAAUGCGUAGAUAUCCAGAGGAACGCCAGUGGCGAAGGCGGCUUCCUGGUCUGUCCCUGACGCUGAGGCACGAAAGCUAGGGGAGCGAUCGGGAUUAGAGACCCCGGUAGUCCUAGCCGUAAACGAUGGGUACUAAGUGUGGGGGGAGCAUUACUCUCCGUGCUGAAGCUAACGCGUUAAGUACCCCGCCUGGGGAGUACGGUCGCAAGACUGAAACUCAAAAGAAUUGACGGGGGGCUGAACAAGCAGUGGAGCACGUGGUUUAAUUCGACGCAAAGCGAAGAACCUUACCAGGACUUGACAUGCUGGUAGUAGCAACCUGAAAGGGAAGCGAUCUCUAUCUUCGGAUAGGGAAGCCAGCACAGGUGGUGCAUGGCUGUCGUCAGCUCGUGCCGUGAGGUGUUGGGUUAAGUCCCUUAACGAGCGCAACCCUUGCUUCUAGUUGCCAUCGGGUAAUGCCGGGCACUCUAGAGGGACCGCCGCCUUAAAGCGGAGGAAGGUGGGGAUGACGUCAAGUCAUCACGCCCCUUAUGUCCUGGGCUACACACGUGCUACAAUGGUCAUUACAAAGAGAAGCAAAGGAGCGAUCCAGAGCGAAUCUCCAACAGUGGCCCCAGUUCGGAUUGUAGGCUGCAAUUCGCCUGCAUGAAGUAGGAAUUGCUAGUAAUCGCGGAUCAGCUACGCCGCGGUGAAUACGUUCUCAGCCCUU
RNAcentral lists this ribosomal RNA (866 nucleotides) under uncultured microorganism. Its description in RNAcentral is "bacterial SSU rRNA". It matches the Rfam family "Bacterial small subunit ribosomal RNA", at positions 527 to 1382 of the family's 1533-position model. The record is from RNAcentral.